Molecule: RNA transcript, 2851 nt
Organism: Cyprinodon tularosa
Lineage: Eukaryota; Metazoa; Chordata; Actinopteri; Cyprinodontiformes; Cyprinodontidae
Gene name: mitochondrial Rho GTPase 1-A
Exons: 21
Source: RefSeq, a predicted model, not a curated record
AGAAGGAGAAGGAGAAUAAAGGCUUUGCGAAGACUCCAUGCUUCACUAAAGAGUCGUUUCUGCUGAGGGGAGAGAGCUGAAUCAUGAGGAAGGACGUGAGGAUCCUCCUGGUUGGAGAACCCAAGGUGGGGAAGACAUCUCUGAUCAUGUCUCUGGUUAGUGAGGAGUUUCCUGAUGAGUCUGUGUUGCAGGUUCCUCUCAGAGCUGAGGAGAUCACCAUCCCAGCUGAUGUGACCCCAGAGAGGGUACCCACGCACAUCGUGGACUAUUCUGAAGCAGAACAGACAGAGGAGCAACUGUAUCAGGAAAUCUCCAAGGCAAACGUUAUCUGCAUAGUUUAUUCCGUUAACAACAAGAAGUCCAUCGAAAAGGUGACGAGCCACUGGAUUCCCCUCAUAAACGACCGAACCGAUAAAGACAGCAGGGUGCCGCUGAUUCUUGUUGGGAACAAGUCAGACCUAGUGGAGCACAGCAGCAUGGAAACCAUCCUGCCAAUAAUGAAUCAGUACCAGGAUAUUGAGACCUGUGUAGAGUGUUCUGCCAAAAACUUGAAGAACAUCUCUGAGCUGUUCUACUACGCCCAGAAGGCUGUUCUCCACCCAACAGGCCCCCUUUACUGCCCAGAGGAGAAGGAGCUGAAACCUUCCUGCAUUAAAGCUUUAACUCGGAUUUUUAAAAUAUCUGAUCUAGACAACGAUGGGAUCCUGAAUGACAACGAGCUCAACUUCUUCCAGAGAACCUGUUUCAAUACACCUCUGGCGCCUCAGGCCUUAGAAGAUGUAAAGAAUGUGGUGAGGAGGAACAUGACUGACGGGGUUAAAGAUAACGGACUCACUCUCAAAGGCUUCCUCUUCCUGCACACCCUCUUCAUUCAGAGAGGUCGGCAUGAGACGACGUGGACGGUGCUGAGGAGGUUUGGAUACGAUGAUGACCUGGAGCUCACACAGGAAUACCUGUUCCCCUUGGUAAAGGUCCCACCAGACUGCACCACUGAGCUAAACCACAACGCUUACCUCUUUCUGCAGAGCGUCUUUGACAAACAUGACAAAGACAGAGACUGUGCGCUGUCCCCAGAGGAGGUGAAGGACCUGUUCAAAGUGUUUCCCUACAUGCCCUGGGGUCCAGAUGUCAACAACACAGUAUGCACCAAUGAUAAGGGAUGGAUCACAUACCAGGGAUACCUCUCCCAGUGGACAUUAACAACUUAUCUGGAUGUUCAGAGGAGUUUGGAGUAUUUAGGUUACCUUGGUUACUCCAUCAUCUAUGAACAAGAGUCCCAGGCUGCUGCUAUUACUGUGACUCGUAACAAGCGCAUCGAUCUGCAGAAGAAGCAGACGCAGCGUAGCGUCUUCCGCUGUAACGUCCUGGGGGCGCGCGGCAGCGGGAAAAGCGGCUUCCUCCAAGCUUUCCUCGGCAGGAACCUGCAGAGACAGAGGCAGAUCAGAGAAGACCACAAGUCCUACUACGCCAUCAGUACGACCUAUGUUUACGGUCAGGAGAAGUACCUGCUGCUCCACGAGGUGAUGCCAGAUCUCGACUUCUUGUCCGAGGCCGACAUGGCCUGCGACGUGGUCUGCCUGGUGUACGACGUCAACAACCCUCGCUCCUUUGAGUAUUGCGCUAAAGUGUACAAGCAAUGCUUCAUAGACAGCAAGACGCCAUGUGUGGUGAUAGCUGCCAAGUCCGACCUGCAUGAGGUACGGCAGCACUACAGCCUUUCGCCGCACGAGUUCUGCCGCAAGCACAAGCUCCACCCACCACAGCCGUUCACAUGCAACAUGACCGAGGCGCCCAAUAAGGACAUCUACACCAGACUCACCACCAUGGCCAUGUAUCCCUCCAGCCAGCCCAGCCGCUCUCUGUUCAGUCUGGCACGUCGCUGUGUGACCAGCCUGGGCCAGCUAACACCUAGGCUGCUAACCAGGGAGUCUACUUCUAUGGGAUCUCCCAGCUUCAUCUGCUACGUUUGUGGGGAUGGUGUUGGGCUGAUUGGAGCUGCUUUGGGCAGGAUUUCAGGCUAAUGCUACAGGUUAUACAGUCAUCUCCAUCAUGGAGGAGCCCACUAAUAUGGAGGCCUCCGCUUGAGCAGCCAACUCCUCCUCAAAGGCACAUGGCCCAGGCAGACCUGAAGAACUCCACCUUCUGGCUGAGGGCCAGCCUCGGGGCCACGGUGUUCGCCGUGCUGGGCUUCGCCAUGUACAGAGCACUUCUAAAAACGCGGUGAUGGGCCAGCAUGAGGCGGCUACUUCCACCGUGGUCCUUUUUUUUGUUCCUUUCUACCUGAGAGACUGUAAAAAAAAAAAAAGACUGCCUGAAAAAACCAAACGGGCUCAUUGCCUCGAAUAAAGCUCUCCCAUUUCUCUGCAAGCGAAACAAGUGAGAAACAAACUUUUAUACGAUUGUGGUUUAUCUGUAUGUUUUAGACAGAAGGAACUGUUUCUAAAAGCCUGUAAACGAAAACUGAAUGAUCUCAGAUAAUCCGGCCCGUUUUUAAUCCUCAGGCCCUCAUUCAGUUUGACACGAGGAGCCCAGAACGAGGCAGCCAAAAUGAAAAUCCCGCAAAGGGACUUGAAUCUUGUUUUGAAGUAUAUGCAGUAUGUUAUGUAUUUAUCUAAGAUGUUAGGACCUGUAGAGAGUAUCACAAGCCAAACGUCACAUCAGCGGGUGACAAAACCACGUUACAUUUAACACCCACAUUAUGCACAUCUCUCAUUUGUGUGUUAAUUUAUUAACCCGUUUGGAGUGCACCACAUGGAAAAGAUCGCUCAUGUAUUUUUCUAUGUAGUAUUAUUGCUCUGAAUUUCUGACUGCUUUUACUCUUCUGGUUUUCAAUAAAGCUUUGACUCUCCUU